ACGGGGUGCAGCAGGCGCGAAAACUUUACAAUGCGGGAAACCGUGAUAAGGGAACUCCGAGUGCCCGUAAAAUCGGGCUGUCCAUCAGUUUAAAUAACUGGUGAAGAAAGGGCCGGGCAAGACCGGUGCCAGCCGCCGCGGUAAUACCGGCGGCUCGAGUGGUGGCCACUAUUACUGGGCUUAAAGCGUUCGUAGCUGGUUUGUUAAGUCUCUGGGGAAAUCUGCCGGCUUAACCGGCAGGCGUUUCAGGGAUACUGGCAGACUAGGGACCGGGAGAGGUGAGAGGUACUCCAGGGGUAGGAGUGAAAUCCUGUAAUCCUUGGGGGACCACCUGUGGCGAAGGCGUCUCACCAGAACGGCUCCGACAGUGAGGGACGAAAGCUGGGGGAGCAAACCGGAUUAGAUACCCGGGUAGUCCCAGCUGUAAACGAUGCGCGUUAGGUGUAUCGGUGACCACGAGUCACCGAGGUGCCGAAGAGAAAUCGUGAAACGUGCCGCCUGGGAAGUACGGUCGCAAGGCUGAAACUUAAAGGAAUUGGCGGGGGAGCAC
This 550-nucleotide ribosomal RNA is filed under the name uncultured archaeon. Its description in RNAcentral is "bacterial SSU rRNA". It matches the Rfam family "Archaeal small subunit ribosomal RNA", at positions 325 to 879 of the family's 1478-position model. The record is from RNAcentral.